UCAUACAUACAACCAUAUAUCUAUGCCAUCAGUCCAUCAAAAUAAGUGUUUUAUUCAAGCAAGUUCUUAGAGUUAUAGUUGGAUAAGAAAUUACAAAUACAAGCGUAGAUUAGCUAAUAGCUAAUAUUAUUGUUCGAACAGUAGAAAGCUUGAUCAGAAGAAGGAGGUUUUAACUAGCUAGAGUUCAAGAUUUUGCCGAAGCAAGAAUUUUUGCUCUUAGACCUUUGAGAUAGGUCAACAUUGCACUGCGAUCAGGAAAGGUCUCUUUGAUUAUGGGAAUCUCUUUGAACCUUUGAAUCCAUGCAUGUAAGCGAGGGAGGGUUUCGGCUUCAAUCACUUUCACCCCAGCUAUGUCACUCAUGUCAUACAGCCACCAAGCUAGCCACCCGAAUACUAAAUCAGCCAUUCCAAUCUCAUCUCCUCCGAAAAACUUCUUGUCUCCGAGUCCCUGCUCUUCCAAGAUUCUCAGCUGCUCCUGCGUUUCUUCUGUUGCUUUCACUUGUUGUUCUCCCUCAGUUAUGAGGAAACUAUACAGGGCUUGGGUCUUUGUCACACAAAACCUGUAUGUUAGUUCAAGUUGGAUAUAGUUCGGUCUGUUUAUGUUAUAUUGUUAGACCGUGAAUUGUCAACUAGUUAUAUAAACAAACAUGCAUGCAUUGCGACAAUCGAAUCAUUUCACAACAAAACGUAGUAAAAAUAGUUGAGUGAUCAUUCAUUCAUUACCUUGUCCUCUCCGAACUUGGUCCAGAACCGGGCCAAAGCUCGUUGAUGAGGGUCUUUAGGAAGCAAGGGGUUCUGCGGCCAUGUCUCUUCAAUGUACUCAAGAAUGACGUUAGACUCUACGAUUGGUUUUCCGGCAUGAACAAGAACCGGGACCUUCUUAUGGACUGGGUUGUAUUUCAGAAGAAGAUCACUCUUGGUUUGUAACACAUUCUCUUCAACAUACUCGUAGUCUACACCCUUGAGUUUAAGUGCCCAGAUAACCCUGUAAACAUAUGGACUCGACCAAAAUCCUAACAAUGUAACUUGUGCCAUUUUUGCUGGUUCUGUUAUGAUCAUGGAUUGGUUUCUACAUGUACAAUUAUAUGCCUCACAUUCAACUUGUGUAUCUUGAUAAGGUAUAGAGGUAUAUAUAUAGAGGCCAUUUUGUCCUUUGUUUGCUAUUGCUGACUUUUCUUUUUCAGAUGCAAGUUUGCAUACAGAGAUAAAAUAUCUUUAACAAAAACAAAAAAACUUGACAAGCGAGCCAUACUAGACCAUUAAUCUUCCUAAAGUUGACCACAAAUUUUGACUACAAAUUUGACAAGUACAACAACGCCAAUCCAGGUAAUGAAGAGGGAAAGAGACACACAUUGUUUACAGAAAUGGAAGACGUGAUGAAGCUUGUAUUGUAAACAUGACAUGGACAUAUCAUAAAAGUUCUUGUAAUUGGAAUUCCGGAUUAAAUUAUACACAUAUUGGCCGUGUUUGAUUAGCCGGAUAUAAGGCCCAGACACGAUAAAAAUUUACCUAUCUGCUCACAUGUCAUGUUUGGUGAUGCAGAUAUGGUUGAGUCAGAAAAUUUUAUUCCCGUCAGACAUGGAUUAGAAAUCCAUCUAAAAAGGUGUUAUUAAAAUUAUCCGGCUUCAUUUCGACAAACGCCGAAACCACCCACAGCCACAGCUUCUCUUCCACAAAAGCUUCUCUUAUGCAAUCGAAAACGACUGCCUUUGACCGUUUUUAACCGUCGCUGAUCUCGUUUCCAACUUUUUUCAAGUUAAGUUUCCUUCAGAUCUAACUCUUGUUUGUGCCUUCCGAUCUGUAGCUGAUGUUCUGUAUGAGAUUCAAAUUUUGAUGGAGUUUUUUCUCUUUUAUUUGGUAUUAUGAAUUCAAUUAAUGGGUAAUAUGAAUUUUGAAUAAAUUGAGAUAUGUGUCCCGUUGGUUAUAAGAUCUGGGCUCAUGGCAUCAAGUUCUUGUAAAGGUUUCUCUUCUGAUAAGUUAUCUCUCGAUAAUUCUUGUGGCUAUGGUUGAAAUUGGUCACUUCCUGUUGUCUCUACUAAUAUUGGUGUUGGCCAGGUUUGAUGAAAGAAAUUACUCUAACAUGAAUGAAAUUGUAAGACAAAAUUGAGCUGAUUGAUCGAGUAGAUUGCUCCAACAUGAAUGAUAUACGAAUUGGGAAUAUAUGAUGUAAUUAGUAUCUUGUAUGGGGGAGGCUAAGGCUUAGUGAAUUUAUAUGUAAAGAUGGUUCCUGCACCCUCACUAUCAUCAGUCACUUAUGCAUUCGUCCCAUAAAGAAUUUCGAUAGUGAGAAGUGUAGAAGAUCAGUUUAGAGAUCAAUGGCCUCUUUUGCAGGUUUGUUGAUCUUGUUCAAUACUUGGUCAUCUCUUUAUUAUAUGCAAUAUGAGUGUUCUGUAUCUUCUGGUAAACAUUGUUAUUACUUGAUCACUUUGGUUUCGGUUAUGUUUGCUGGCCACCUUGGUGAGCUUAAGUUUGCUGGCCAAUUCGUGGGCCGUUGUCACUGGAUUUGCUUUCAUGGUAAGAUAACUCUCUAUGUACUUGCUCUAUCAUGUUGCUUCAAAUUAAUCUGUAUUUCCUUUCAAAUUUAGUAUGUAGGAAAUUGGAUAGAGCAGUGAUGGAGUGCUAUUCCCUAAUUCAUAUCUGAUAUAGAAGUGUUGGUUAUUAGAUAUGCUUUAGCACCUGAUUUGGGGUACUGUUUUUCAAAUUAUGUUUCCACCCUUCUCACAUUAAGCAUUUUCUUUGUCUUCUGGUAUCCGAGAGUGACUUCAAUUCUUAUGUGAGAAGAAACGUGGAAGGUCUUUCUUGAUUUUAUUCAGAGGACAGAGGUGGCUUACCAUUUUCCUGAUUGUAGUUUAAACAUGAUAUCGAGAUACUUUAGUUAUUUCUUUGCUUUGAUCUUUUAUGUUAAAUGUUUGUUUACGUUGAUCACUUGUAUCUAUAAUAUGAUAGUAAUAAUAAUGAUUGGGGGAAGAGGAAAAUGAUUUGGACAACAGUAGUACUAGAAUUUAUUUCCCAUGAACUUAUAGAUAUUCCUUAUCACAAUAAUGCUAAUGGUGAACUGUAUGGUAAUAUAUAUAUAUAUAUAUAUAUAUAUAUAUAUAUAUAUAUAUAUAUAUAUAUGAACAGCCAAAUCAAAAACGAAAAUGAAUUUACACUAUCAAUUGUGUUUAGGUUGGGUUGACUGGAGCACUUGACACCCUGUGUCGGGAAGGAUUUGCUGCAAAGUCGUACAAAAUGUUGGUCUGCAAGCCUCUUCCAUCAUAUCUUUCCUCUUCUCUAUCAUCAUAUCUGCAGUCUGAUUCUACACCAAGCCCGCCCUUAUCUUACUCCAUAAAGAUCCUCAAAUUUCGAUACCUGCUGCUCUUAUUUGCGUAUGGAUUCUUGAAUAACAUAUUGAGAUUUCUUCAGGCAUCUUUUGUCAUUCCAUUGGUUUUUCUCCUGAAGUCUCGCUACUGAUGAGUACAUUUGUGGUUUACUUUCAUCUAUAGAAAUCAUCAUUUCAUAUAUAAGCAAAUUUUGUUUGAUCUAUUAAUUGUGUCCAAAAUAAUUGUUGUAAAUUUUGUACUGGAUUUAUGAGUGCUUUCAUUUUUAUUUUUAUUUAAUUUGUUAUCAAAAUUUUAUAAGUGGUUGGCAGGAGAAAUGAAAAAAUAAAUUACAGACCAGAAAAAAGAGAAAUAAAAAAAAUAAAUUGAUGAUAAGAAGAUUGUUGAAAAUAAACUGUUUUUGGCUUAUCCAAUCAGCCACGGUUAUCUGGCUGUCCAAACAUUGUAUUGGAUAAGAAAUAGGCAUUCGCAAAUCUAAUCUAGUCAAGGUCUGACAAGAUUAAUUAGAAAUCAUGUCUAGUCCGUGUUACGAAACGCCUCCAAUGUAUCAAAUGGUUAAGUUAGGGAUCUGAAUUGUAUAAUGAUUUUAUACUAAUUGGUUUCUUUUUUGGGAGGAGUCUAAACCUUAGUUGAAUCCUAUAUAAACCUGGUCCCUACACACUCUAUCCACCAGUUGCUAAAAGUCUAGUCCUAGAUAUAGAAUAGAGUGUUGUGUAGAAGAUCGGAGUUUGGAAUAUCAAUGACCUCUAGUUCAGGUUUGUUAAAUUCCCUUAAGAACUCUAGUUAAUGUAUUUGCUUAGUUGUGUUUGUUUUGUUUGAUUCUAUAGUAUCUAUUUAUCUUGUGUGUUGAGUUUCUUGUGAUCAAUGGAUUGGGCUAACACAUAUGACCAAUCAAGUUUAAUUGUUUAAACAAUAUUUGCAGACGAUCCGAGUCAUCCGACUUGUUCUCUCUCUCUCAUAGAAUGGCCAAUGUUCUAUUGUUCUUGAAAAUGUGAUGUAAAUUGAUUCAGUUUCAUACAUACAAACAUAUAUUUAUGCCGUAAGUCCAUCGAUCAAAAAAAGUGCUUUAUUCAAGCAAGUUCUUAGAGUUAUAGUUGGAUAGGAAGAUUUACAGAUACAAGCGUACAUCAGCUUAAUUAAUAGCUAAUAUUAUUGUUCGAAAAGUAGAAAGCUCGAUCAACAGAAGAAGGUUUUAGCUAGCUAGAGUUUAAGAUUUUGCCGAAGCAAGAAGUAUUGCUCUUCCACCUUUGAAAUAGGUCAACAUUGCACUGCGAUCAGGAAGGUGCUCUUUGAUUGUGGGGAUGUCCUUGAACCGUUGAAUCCAGGCAUGCAAGCGAGGGAAGGUUUCGGCUUCAAUCCCCUUCACCCCAGCUAGUUCACUCAUGACAUCCAUCCACCAAGCUAGCCACCCGAAUUCCAAAUCAGCCAUUCCAAGCUCAUCUCCUCCGAAAAACUUCUUGUCUCCGAGUCCCUGCUCUUCCAAGAUUGUCAGCUGCUCUUGCCUUUCUUUUGUUGCUUUCACUUGCUGUUCUCCCUCAGUCAUGAAAAAUCCAAACAGGGCUCCGAACUAUGUGACAUGCACAAAACAUCUACAUUACUUCGACUUGAAUAUAAUGCGCGCGAUCUUUUAUUUAUGUUAUGUCGUUAGACCGUCAGUUGUCAACUCGUUAUAUAAACAAACAUGCAUACUUGCAUGCGACUACAAACUACUCAUUUCAUCAUGUAACGUAAUUGAAAUAGUAGUGAUCAUCAAUUACCUUGUCCUCUCCGAACUUUAUCCAGAACCGGGCCAAAGCUCGUUGAUGAGGGUCUUUAGGAAGCAAGGGGUUCUGCGGCCAUGUCUCUUCGAUGUACUCAAGUAUUACAGCAGACUCUGCGAUUGGUUUUCCGGCAUGAACAAGAACGGGAACCUUCUUAUGGACUGGGUUGUACUUCAGAAGACGAUCACUCUUGUUGUGUAACACAUCCUCUUCAACAUACUCGUAGUCUACACCCUUGAGUUUAAGUGCCCAGAUAACCCUGUAAACAUAUGGACUCGACCAAGCUCCUAACACUGUAACUUGUGACAUUUUUGCUGGUUCUGUUAUGAUCCUAGACUGGUUUCUACAUGACUAUAUAUGCCUCGCAUUCAAUUUGGUUACCUUGUGCUUCAAUUAAUCUACAUGGUCGGGAAGGAUUAGAGGCCAAUUUGUCCUUCUUUUGCUAUUGUUUACUCUACUUUUAAAUAUGUAGUUGGUAUAAAAGAGAUAAGAUAUCAUUUUCGCCAAGUUUCUCUUUUAUUUGAGGACCAUAUUUCUCUGGAAAAUACAAAAGACUUGUCAAGCAAGUCAUACUAGACCCUUAAUCUUCCUAAAGUUGACCAGAGUUUGGACUACAUACUUAUAAAAUACAACGAACCCAAUCCUUACGUUGAGGGCAGCUGUUGGUUGUUGUGAAAAGGGAAAGAGACACAUUGUUUACAUAAAUGUAAGAAGUGAUGAAGCUGCUAGGAUUAGGAAUAUGGCUUCUAGUCUCUUACGUUACAAGAGUCAGUGGAUCUAGAAACUUGUUAACAAAGAUCAAAGUCUCUUCCUUUAAACUAUAAUAUAAGGAUUAAAAUCUCUGUGAUAUAUUUGAUAUAUCCUCCGAUAUCUCUAUUUUUUUAAGGACCGAUAUAUCUAGAGUGGUAAAUAUAUUAUCUUCCACUGUAUCUUCCAUAUAUCUAGAGGUGUUGUUCUUAGCGAUUUUAUCAAAGACCACUUUGGGUUUCUUGUUGAUUUUUUAAAUCCUAACCCUUAAACCCUAUACCCUAAACCUAUACCCUAACUAUAUAUAUAUCCUAUACCCUAACUAUAUAUCCUAUAUCCUGUACCCUAAACCCUGUACCCUAAACCCUAGGCCAAACUCAUUAAAAACCCAAGACGGUAAUUUCACAAAACAUAGAAAAACUUAGUUUAUAUUUUAGUUGUAAUAAAUUUACGUGUCAAAAUUUAAUUGACAAGAGAGGACCACGUCAGACUGCCACUUGGUCCUUUGGGAGCAUUUAAAAAUUUCUCCUAAUUGAGUUGAUUGGUUGAGGUGAUUGAUCAAAAGUAUAAAUGAUAUACAAAUCAAGGAUAUAUGUGAUUCUAUAUUAAUUGGUUUCCUUUAUGGGAGGAUUCCAUACUAAUUAGUUGAAUCCUAUAUAAACCUGGUCCCUAUACAGUCUAUCCACCAGUUGCUAAAAGUCUAGUCCUAGAUAUAGAAUAGAGUGUUGUGUACAAGAUCGGAGUUUGGAAUAUCAAUGGCUUCUAAUUCAGGUUUGUUAAUUGAAUUCCCUUAAGAACUCUAGUUAGUGUAUUUGCUUAGUUGUGUUUGUUUUGUUUGAUUCUAUAGUAUUUAUUUAUCUUGUGUGUUGAGUUUCUUGUGAUCAAUGGAUCGAGGCUAACACAUCUGACCAAUCAAGUUUAAUUGUUUAAACAAUAUUUGAAGACGAUCCAAGUCAUCCGACUCUCUCUCUCUCUNNNNNNNNNNNNNNNNNNNNUCUCUCUCUCUCUCUCUCUCNCUCUCUUCUCUCUCUCUCUCUCUCUCUCUCUCUCUCUCUCUCUCUCUCUCUCUCUCUCAUAGAAUGGCCAAUGUUCUAUUGUUCUUGAAAAUGUGAUGUAAAUUGAUUCAGUUUCAUACAUACAAACAUAUAUUUAUGCCAUAAGUCCAUCGAUCAAAAAAAGUGUUUUAUUCAAGCAAGUUCUUAGAGUUAUAGUUGGAUAGGAAGAUUACAGAUACAAGCGUACAUCAGCUUAAUUAAUAGCUAAUAUUAUUGUUCGAAAAGUAGAAAGCUCGAUCAACAGAAGGAGGUUGUAGCUAGCUAUAGUUUAAGGUUUUGCAGAAGCAAGAAAUAUUGCUCUUCGACCUUUGAAAUAGGUCAACAUUGCACUGCGAUCAGGAAGGGGCUCUUUGAUUGUGGGGAUGUCCUUGAACCGUUGAAUCCAGGCAUGCAAGCGAGGGAAGGUUUCGGCUUCAAUCCCCUUAACCCCAGCUAGUUCACUAAUGACAUCCAUCCACCAAGCUAGCCACCCGAAUUCCAAAUCAGCCAUUCCAAUCUCGUCACCACCGAAAAACUUCUUGUCUCCGAGGCCCUGCUCUUCCAAGAUUCUCAGCUGCUCUUGCCUUUCUUUUGUUGCUUUCACUUGCUGUUCUCCCUCAGUCAUGAAAAAUCCAAACAGGGCUCCUAACUAUGUGACAUGCACAAAAUAUCUACAUUACUUCGAUUUGAAUAAAAUGCGCGCGAUCUUUUAUUUAUGUUUUGUCGCUAGACCGUCAGUUGUCAACUCGUUAUAUAAACAAACAUGCAUACUUGCAUGCGACUACAGACUACUCAUUUCAUCAUGUAACGUAAUUGAAAUAGUACGUUGAGUGAUCAUCAAUUACCUUGUCCUCUCCGAACUUUGUCCAGAACCGCGCCAAAGCUCGUUGAUGGGGGUCCUUAGGAAGCAAGGGGUUCUGCGGCCAUGUUUCUUCGAUGUACUCAAGUAUGACAGCAGACUCUGCGAUUGGUUUUCCGGCAUGAACAAGAACGGGAACCUUCUUAUGGACUGGGUUGUACUUCAGAAGACGGUCACUCUUGUUGUGUAACACAUCCUCCUCUACAUACUCAUAGUCUACACCCUUGAGUUUAAGCGCCCAGAUAACCCUGUAAACAAAUGGACUAGGCCAGAAUCCUAACACUGUAACUUGUGACAUUUUUGCUGGUUCCGUUAUGAUCCUAGACUGGUUUCUACAUGUAUAUAUAUGCCUCGCAUUCAACUUGGUUAUCUUGUGCUUCAAUUAAUCUACAUGGUCGGGAAGGAUUAGAGGCCAAUUUGUCCUUCUUUCGCUAUUGGUUACUCUACUUUAAAUAUGUGGUUGGUAUAAAAGAGAUAAGAUAUCGUUUUAAAUACAAAAGACUUGUCAAGCAAGUCAUACUAGACCAUUCAUCUUCCUAAAGUUGACAAGAGUUUAGACUACAUAUAAAAUACAACGAAGCCAAUCCUUACGUUGAGGGCAGCUGUUGGUUGUGAAAAGGGAAAGAGACACAUUGCUUACAGAAAUGUAAGAAGUGAUGAAGCUGCUAGGAUUACAAGAGUCACUGGAUCUAGAAACUAGGGGUCAAGUAUAUGUGAAUCGAAAGAGAAACUUGUUUAGAAGAUCAAAGUCUUCCUGUAAAGUAUAACAUGCUUCGCAAGAAGAUUUUGGUGCUCGUUCGAGGAGCUUAAUUGCUCACUAAAUCCAGAGCUAUACUAAUGAUCAUAUAAUAUCCUCCACCAAAUGAGGGAUGUAAAAACUAUUCUUGUGUUUAAAAAUACUAGCAUCUUACUCCUGCAUUUACACAAGGGAACUCACAAAAUCACUAUAAAUGGUUAAUUUUGGUUUGUAGGCUUGGUUUUUGACGUUGGAAUUACAUACUGCUACCUUAAAUAGUUGCAUAAUACACAAAACCUAUAUUUUAAAAUAUUUAAACAAAUAAUGCCAGAAGCCCAAGCUCGUAAAGAAUAGUAUCAGGCUUGAUCUGUAACGUUGAUGUGAAAAUGACUGAAAACCCGUGUUUUAUGAAAUAACUACAACAUUGACAUUGACAGAAACCAAAACCGUUCUCUCUCUCUCUCUGAUCCCUAAAAUCGUCGAUAUCUUUCUCACCAUUCCAAAACCAAGUGCUAUUGUUUGGUCACAAUAUUUCCAAAACCAUGUUGUAUCAUCACAAUAUUACUCCUUACAAGACCAAACAAGAGGAGCUGAACCAAGUUGAAGCAAGGAAUCGAGUCAAUCGGGUCACGGAUUGAGUGGCAGCGAAUCGGGUUGGCUGGGUUUGGGAUUAGAGAUUGAGUAGUAGUGGUAGUGAUUCGAUUUGGGAAUUUGUAAUUUAGAUCUCAACAGACCUUAUAAUCAGAAACAGAGAAGUAUGUAAAUGGCGAGGAGCUUGACGACUUAGAAAGGGGUGGUGGUAGAGUAGUCGGUCUCGUUGAUGAUGAGUUUGUAGCUUUUGAGGGUUAUGUUCAGAUCUUACUGCUACUGAUGCCAUGACGAUCAUGUCAUGCUGCUACUGUUGUAGAUUUCAGGUUUUGCUGCUACUGCUGCCAUGACUAUUAGGUUAUGUUGCUACUGUUGUAGAUUUUACUACUACUGCUACUUAUGGUCAGGUCUUGCUGCUACUGUUGUCGGUGUUUAAUUUGGGUUUCUUAUUGAAUUUGAAGUUGCAGAUGAAUAUGAUGUGGGUUGCUUAAAAAUCUGAAACUAGUGGACGAGAGAUUUGACUUGGGUGAUUUGUCAAGGUUUGUGUUAGUAACGUGAAAGUUGAUAAGUCUUAGAGCAAGUCCACCGGUGACAAAAAAAAUCCGACCCAGGUUGGAUCACAUAGACAAAGUGACACAGCCUAAAAAUAGUUGCUUCCACCCAUGAAAAUUUUGGGGCGAGUAUUGUAACCCAGGUGAGUUUGGGUUAAAUUUUAUGCGAGUAUAGUAACCCAAAAUCUAACCCAGGCUAAUUAAUUCCUCAACCGCCACAUCAGCAAAAGAGCCCAACGUGGCUGACGUUAGACAGGGCCAUUCUCUUUCUCUCUCUACUUCUUUACUCGCCAGUGGCUCGUGUGAAGAGCAGUGGCUCAUAUAUAUAUAUGCCGCAUGACCACGUGAGGAGCACUGCUCAUGGAGAAGACAUACAAUGUAGCUGGGACCCAUUAGAUAUUAUUAAAUGUAAAAAUGUAAAAAUAUCAAGUAAAACCAUUAAUUACAAAAAAAAAAAAAUACGUAAAAACUAGGGUUACAUCAAUUAGAAAAAAAAAAAUUCUAUAAGAUGUAAACUACAGGAAAACUAUAUAAACUGUUAUGAAAAAUUCCCUAGCGUUUAUAAAUAAUUUCUUAUAUCCCUAGCUAACCAAUUUAGAUUGUGUAUUUUUUUUAUUAUGUUUGUGUUUUCAUCCUUACAAAAUUUCAAAUAAUUGUAAACUUUUUUAGGCUUGGCUUGUCAAUUAAAUGUCAAGAAAUAAAAAAAAUUCAAUAAGUCAUAUUUUUUUAUGUAAUUACUAUUUAUUUACAACUAAAAUAAUUAUUCACACUUAAAAACGUUUUUUUAAAAUUCAAUAAACAGUCACUGUCACGUGUCAGCAAUCCCACAUUUUAAACGGGUGGAAACUGCUGCCCAAUCAUAGUGACUCAGAGUGACCCAGGUCACUGUGUUCAAUAUAACUCAACGGGUGAACUUGCUUUUAGUAGCUUAUAGUUGUUGAAAAAUAUAUACAACUAACAGAGCAAUAGCUUAGCUAAAUAAGAGUAGUAGUAAGUUUUUACUUGUAUCAUGAGAUGUGAGCAUAAAAACUAGCAUAGAAGAAGCACAACUAAUAUUCAUCUCAUCUACCUUUUCAUAGUAGCAUAGUAACAUUCAGUAAUAGUAGUAGCAACACAAUAACAUUCGGUAACAACAGUAUCAGAAACAUUUCAAUCGACAAUAACAACAACAAUAUUCCAGUAGACAAUAACAAGAACAUUGCAAUAAACAGUAGCAUCAACAUUCUAACAAGUGUAGUAGCAUCUAAAGCAAGACAUGAUGUGGUCUGAUUUAAUUUGAUUUUUAUUAGAAAAGACAAAAAGGACAAGAUUUAAUCUUUAAACAUAAAUUUGAUAGUUGAAACAUGAGUCACAUAUUUUAUCAAGUGUUUCAGAGAUCAACAGAAGAGAUUUCUUUACUCAUAUGACCAAUUAAUUUAAACUAUAUUUUAGACAAUUCGACUUGUUUUAAGUUAUUUAUCUCUCUCUCUCUCUCUCAUCUUGAAGGAAUGGCCAAUUAAUGUUCUUGAAAAUUUGAUGUAUAUUGAAUAAUUGAUUCUGUUUCAAACAUAUAUCUAUGCCAUAAGUCCAUAAAAAUAAGUGUUUUAUUUAAUCAAGUUCUUCGAGUUAUAGUUGGAUAAGAAAAUUAAAGAUACAAGCGUACAUCAGCUAAUAGAUAAUAUAAUUGUUCGAAAAGUAGAAAGCAAGCAGGAGAUUUUAGCUAUAGCUAGAGUUUAAGAUUUUGCCAAAGCAAGAAAUGUUGCUCUUCGACCUUUGAAAUAGGUCAACAUUGCACUGCGAUCAGGAAGGGGCUCUUUGAUUGCAGAGAUGUCCUUGAACCUUUGAAUCCAGGCAUGCAAGCGAGGGAAGCUUUCGGCAUCAAUCACUUUAACUCCAGCUAUUUCACUCAUGACAUCCAGCCACCAAGCUAGCCACCCGAAUUCUAAAUCAGCCAUUCCAAUCUCAUCUCCUCCAAAAAACUUUUUUUCGCCGAGUCCCUGCUCUUCCAGGAUUCGCAGCUGCUCCUGUCCUUCUUUCGUUGCUUUCUCUUGUUGUUCUCCCUCAGUCAUGAAAAAUCCAAACAGGGCUGCGCUCUAUGUCACAUAAUACAUCUACAUUAGUUAAAGUCGUGUAAAAUUUGAUCUUUCAUGUUAUAUUGUUAGACGGUCAAGUAUUCAAGUGUCAAACUGUAGCUAAUUAGAGAAACAUAUACACGCGAUAAAUAGUUCAUGUUUGAUUAGUCGUGGUCUAUUGGUUUAUUAUUGGUUUAUUAGUCUAACAAACCGUAACAUAUGGUUGGUGAAGGUAAGGAAUUUUAAUAAAAUUUGAAAAAAUUAAAAAAUGCGACAAAUGAUUCAUUUGGCUAUAUAACGUAGUGAAAAUAGUCGAGUGACCAUUAAUUACCUUGUCCUCUCCGAACUUUAUCCAGAACCGGGCCAAAGCUCGUUGAUGAGGGUCUUUAGGAAGCAAGGGGUUCUGCGGCCAUGUCUCUUCGAUGUACUCAAGUAUUACAGCAGACUCUGCGAUUGGUUUUCCGGCAUGAACAAGAACCGGAACCUUCUUAUGGACUGGGUUGUACUUCAGAAGACGAUCACUCUUGUUGUGUAACACAUCCUCUUCAACAUACUCGUAGUCUACACCCUUGAGUUUAAGUGCCCAGAUAACCCUGUAAACAUAUGGACUAGGCCAAGCUCCUAACACUGUAACUUGUGACAUUUUUGCUGGUUCUGUUAUGAUCCUAGACUGGUUUCUACAUGUCUAUAUAUAUGCCUCGAUCCAACUGGGUUAUCUUGGGCAUCAAUCUACAUGAUUUCGAAGGACUAGAGGCCAAUUUGUCCUUUGUUUGCUAUAGUUGACUACUUUUUCAUAUGAAGUUGGCAUAAGAGAUGAGAAAAACAAGACUUGCCAAGCAAGUCAUACUAGACCAUUAAUCUUCCUAAAGUUGACCAGAAGUUUGGACUACAUACUUAUAAAAUACAACGAACCCAAUCCUUACGUUGAGGGCAGCUGUUGGUUGUUGUGAAAAGGGAAAGAGACGCAUUGCUUAAGAAAUGGAAGAACUGAAGAAGUGAUGAAGCUGCUAGGAUUAGGAACAUGGCUUCUAGUCUCUUACGUUCCAAGAGUCAUUGGAUCUAGAAACCAGGGGUUAGGUAUAUGUGAAUCGAAAGAUAACCUUGUUACAAGAUCAAAGUCUCUUCCUUUAAAGUAUAACAUGCUUCAUAAGAAGAUUUUGGUGCUCAUUCGAGGAGCUUAAUUGCUCACUAAAUCCAGAGCUAUACUAAUGAUCAUAUAAUAUCCUCCACUAAAUGAGGGAUGUAACAGCUAUUCUUGUGUUUAAAAAUACUAGCAUCUUACUCGUGCAUUUAUAUUUUGUGAGUUUUUCCCUUACAUUUUUUUUAAUGACCUCUUAAAUAAAUAAAAUAAAAUAUAACGUUGAAAUUUAUUAUGAAUGUAGUUAUCAAUUUUAACCUCCCACUACCCACGUGUUGGGAGAUUGGCCUCGUUUUGUUAUAGUGUUGUGUUGGGAGCAAAAAUGUCAAUCUUAACUUUCCUGUAAACAAAUGGACUUAGGCCAAGCUCCCAACACUGUAACUUGUGUCAUUUUUGCUGGUUCCGUUAUGAUCCUAGACUGGUUUCUACAUGUAUAUAUAUGCCUCGCAUUCAACUUGGUUAUCUUGUGCUUCAAUCUGCUUGGUUUGGAAGGAUUAGAGGCCAAUUUGUCCUUUGUUUGCUAUUUUUUUUGUUCCGAUGAAUCCUGCCUUUGCUAUUGUUGACUCAACUUUUCAUAUUUAGUGGGUAUACAGAGAUAAAAUAUCGGUUUGCGCACCAAAUUUCGCUAUAUUCGAAGAUCGUGUUUCUCUAAACCAAAAAAAAAAAAACCUUGUCAAACAAGUCAUACUAGACCAUUAUCUUCCUAAAGUUGACAAGAAAUUUUGACUACAUAUCUAUAAAAUACAGCAGAUGUUGAAGAGGGAAAGAGACACGCAUCGGUUACAGAAAUGGAAGAAGGGAUGAAGAAGCUAGGAACAUGGCCUAGUCCCUUUCGUUACAAGAGUCAUGGGAUCUAAAACUAGGUGUUAAGUAAUGAAUAUGUGAAAGAGAACUUUGUUAACAAAAUCACUCUUCCUUUUAAGUAUAACCUGCUUCAUAAGAAGAUUCUGAUGCACAUUAGAGGAGCUUAAUUUCCCUUAAAUCCAGAGACUUUGAAAUGAUCAUAUAGUUCUUCUAGUAUGCUCCACCAAAUGAAGGAUGUAACAGCUAUAUAUCCUUGUGUUUAAACAUAUAGAUUUGAGCUACUAUCUUUAUUCAAAACCAGUUCCAUGUAUACAACAGAACCAAUUGUAAGAGGUUUCUGAAAAUUAAAGGCAAAGAAUAAAUUCAAAGCCAAAAGCUGGGAAAGUUACUUGGCAGGUAGUGUAAGUGUAUGCUAUAGUUACAAAGGCUCAGAUUGUACCUUGAGACAUAAUUUGCUAAAAGAGGAGGGAAGUUUGUACAGGACAUCUUCGCAUCUCAGAUGUAAAGCCUUUGCACAUGAAUAUGCAUGAAGCAAUGAACUGUUUCUAAAAAAACUUCCUUAAUUUGAAUCAUAGAACAUCAAAGAAUGACAAAAGACUGGCACAGAAACAGGAGAUUGUACGUGGGAUCGUCAAACAGACAAUAUUAAACCAAGAUAAACCUUAGAACUCCUACUCCUGGUUGAACAAGAAUUAAGUCACUAGUCCCCCAAGAGGAACAUAGAUUCUGGUGAAUACAUUGAGGUGUGCCAUAGAAUACCUCUGCUUUUGGGAUGACCCUUAUGAAGGCAAGGUAAAAUUAUGUCAUGUUGUAAUUUGACUAAUUUCUGUAAUAAUCUUAUUCUGUGUUUUAUCAUAAUAGGAUCUGAAAGUUUACUCUUUGAUGGAUGUACAGGGGGGAACACAAUGGAGGUUGUACAGGUACAGUUUCUUGCAUUGAUGGCUUCUUGCAUCACAUAAUUUCUUACCAAAACAUUCCUAGUUAAAAUGGAGUGGAGGCUUGGAAUCAACUCCAUGUAAGAACUUACAUCAAUCAGUGGACAUGCAAAAAACACUAAUAUGCAUUACAAAGAACUUCUCUUAUUCAGUCACAACUGUAAUCGAUUGAUUGAAACUAUUAACUGAUAUCAUUCCUUGCUUCUUGCUUAUUGGUUAUGUUACAACCUUUAUUCUUAUAUGCUAAAUGUGCUGUGUUGUUUGAAAUUAAGACUAGGAUAUCAACUAGUUGCUGGCUUGAUAAACUUCUCCCUCAGCUGUUUGAAAUAGGCUACCAGCCGAGUUUUGUCAGGGUGAUUUUCUUUGAUCACAGGAACUUCCUUGAAAUUUCUAAUCCAUGCGUGCAAGCGAGGGAAGUUAUCGGCUUCCAGAACUUGUACACCAGCUGCUUCUUCCAUGGCCUCAAGCCAGAAUGCUAGCAAUCCCAUGGAUAAGUCUGUCAUUUCAAUCUUGUCACCAUUAAAGAACUUCUUCUCAUCAUCAAGGCCGUGCUCUUCUAAGAUCUUCAGACACUCCUGGGCUUCUUUCACAGCUUUUGUUUGCUCUUCUCCAGCUCUUUUAUAGAAUCCGUAAAUGUUCGGCAUCUAAAUUGCACAAAAUAGCAGAUCAGUUAAGGGUCAACAUUCUACUUGUGUUGAACUGUUGAUAGAAAAUCUCAAGAAAGAAAAUACAGGUAUGAUUACCUUGUCAUCUCCAAACUUUGUCCAGAAUCUAGCGAUGGCCCUUGCAUGAGGGUCUGUUGGAAGCAGAGGAUUCUGCAGCCAUGUCUCUUCAAUGUACUCCAGAAUGACAGUCGACUCAGCAAUCAGCUUUCCACCAUGAACAACUACUGGAACCUUCUUGUGCACUGGGUUGUAUUGAAGAAGCAAAUCACUCUUGUUGAAUAUGUCCUCUUCUUGAUAUUCAUAUUCAACUCCCUUGAGUUUCAGAGCCCAUGUGACCCUGUAAACAUAUGGACUUGCCCAGAAUCCUAUUACCUUCACUUCCUCCAUAUUACUCUAGUUUCUGCUCAUCUUAGUCUCUACCACAUAUUAUAUAGUAUUAUAGUUGAAGCCUUAAUAUCUAUGUAAUUCUAUUCUCCACGCCAUCGUUAUUCAGCAGAUAAGAUUAGGUGAGGAAAAUAUUGUUAUAUAUCGUCUUGUCUGACCCAUUAAUUCUAAUAAAAUUGAUACUUGAAACUUGACUCACAUAUUUUAUGAAGUGCUUCAGAGAUCAACAUAAAGAGAUUUCUUUACUCGUAUGACUAAUCAAGUUUAAACAAUAGUUCAGACAAUCCGACUUGUUUAAGUUUAGAGUAAAAUAUUGUAUAGUCUUUCUGGUUGAAGUCAACAUCUAUUUAGUCCUUAUAGUUUUAUUUUAAUCUGAAUAGUCCUUAAAAUCACAAUUUUUCAUCUAAAUAGUCUUUAUGGUUUUAUUUUACUCUGAAUAGUCCUUAAAGUCAUGAUUUUUCCUCCAAAUAGUCAUUUUAGGUAGCCUAACUGACAACGUUGAGGUCAUGGGUUCAAACCUCGCUGACAUAUGUAAGGGUGUGUGAGUUAUUUAAUAAAAAGUUUUAUUUAAUAAAAAAAAAAGGAAACUAUUCAGAUUAAAAUAAAACCACAAGGACUAAACAGAUGUCAACUUCAAACCACAAGGCCUAAACAAAUUUUAAUUCUUAAAUUUAUCUCUCUCCUUGAAGGAAUGGCCAAUGUUCUUGAAAAUUGGAUGUAAAUUGAGUUGUUGAUUCUGUUUCAUACAUACAACCAUAUAUCUAUGCCAUAUGUUCAUCAAAAUAAGUGUUUUAUUCAAGCCAGUUCUUAGAGUUAUAGUUGGAUAAGAAAUUACAAAUACAAGCGUAGAUUAGCUAAUAGCUAAUAUUAUUGUUCGAACAGUAGAAAGCUUGAUCAGAAGAAGGAGGUUUUAGCUAGCUAGUAGUUUUUUUUUUUUUUUUUUUCGUUUGAAUGAUCGAGGAUAGACGAAUAAAUUGCCUAUCACUCUAUUUUAUUAAUAAAGGAAAAAAGAAACAAAGGAGGAGAAUGAAAACCAAAACCUCCCAAAACAAAUUACAGACUAGCUGAAACGAAAUUGAAGCAUACCUCUAACAUCAUUAUUAUAAGACAAUAAUAUGAAAGGUGGAGGCUCAUCCCGCCAUAUCAAUUCAGAACAUGACGUAUCUUGAUUUGCCAGAGCAUCAGCUAUUUUAUUUCUUUCAUGAAAAAUAUGAGUAGCCUUGAAAUUCAUCUGAGAGAUUCGGUAUAAGCAAUUCAACCAUCGAAUUCGAAGAGGCCAAGGAACAAGAGAAAGUCUGCGAAUAUAAUCAAGUACCAAAGAUGAGUCAACUUCCAACCAAAUAUGUUUCCAAUCAUGAACCUAAACAAGCUCAAUAGCUUUAAUAACAGUCAUUAUCUCUGCUGAAAUUGAACUAGGAAUUUCAAGAUUUGAGGCAAAAGCACUAAGAAAGUGGCCCUUGUAAUCCCUAAAAAUAAUACCAUAACCACCCACUCCCUUCUCAUGCUUCCAAGAGCCAUCAGAAUUUAUCUUCACCCAACCAAAAGAAGGAGGAAGCCAAUUAACUUCAACAACUCUAGGAGUGGCACAAGGACGACAUGGGGCUCCAAAACAUUUCAAAAUUCGUAGCUCCUCGACACUAUUAUGCAUAUGACCUGUUGUAAGAUCACUAGUGGCUCUUAUAUGACCUGAUAUUAGCCUACAAACAGCUUCAAUUGAAAAGCGACAACCAUCAAAUCUGGUUUUAUUUCUUACAUGCCAAACAAACCACAAAAUGGAGGUAAAGCAAAUAAGCCAUAGUUCCAUUAAUUGAGGACUUCUUCCAUUUUGCAAACCCAACCUAUAAAGCUCCAAAAUAGAAGAAGGAAUCAUACCCAACUCAAAAAGGGAGCCAAAGUGACUCCAAAUUGAUGCAGUGAACGAGCAACAGAGGAAAGUAUGAUUCAUACCCAAAAUAGAAGAAGGAAUCAUACCCAACUCAAAAAGGGAGCCAAAGUGACUCCAAAUUGAUGCAGUGAACAAGCAAGAGAGGAAAGUAUGAUCCAAAGUCUCAAAGCAAGCACCAUAAAGCUCACAUCUAGAAACCCAAGCUAUACCUCGACGCUGAAGUAAAUCAUCACAAAUAACUCUACCUCUUAACACCUUCCAUGCCAGGAAAGACAUUCUUGGCAGAAUAUAUUAGCUCAUAAUCUCUUACCCCAAAUUACUGGAUUAGAAGAAGGCUGCAUAAAAGUAUAGGCUUGUUUAGCGGUUAACUCACUGAAGGCUAAAGAGGUCCAUAUAAGUUUGUCAUUAACUUAAGGAUCUUCUAACACAGGGACUUGAUUGAUCAUAUCACAUAAGGCUGGGUAGUGCAACUGUAGUAAUGGAGGAAGAUUUCAUGAGCCAUUGUCUAUAUAUUUCGACACCAAAUCUGAGUUAUCCUGCAUCAACACAUUAGAACCAAAGAACUCAUUAAUUGGCCUGCCCAUAAACUUGUCGUGCCAAAAGUAGAUUCCAUUCCCAUAACCAAUUAACCAUUGUGAAUUAUCUUGAACCGUCUUCCAGAAUUGAUGAACACUAGGCCAUAUAGAAAAAGGAGCAUAAGAUUUCUGUCUAGAGAAACGACUGCGAAUAAAAGCACAACCCUCAGAUUGAGCUGUAUAUAUUUCCCAGCAACGUUUCAAUAAGAGAGAUCGAUUAAGCAGAACUAAUUGUUUGAGCCCUAAGCCACCUUCUUCAAUUGGGGAACAACAAGUCUUCCAAGCCACAAGAGGGAUCCCUCUUUUAUCAAUUGAGCCAGACCACAGAAAGUUUCGGCACCAAACCUCAAUUUUCCAUACCACAGACACAGGCCAUUCAUAUACUUGAAAAGUGUAUACCAACAUGCUAAAAAUAACAGACUUGAUAAGCUGCAAAUGUCCUGCCAUUGACAAAAAAGAACUCACCCAACUUGAUAACUUUAUCCUUAUUUUGUCAACAAUUUGAUUGAAAUAAGAAGCACGAGGAUUGCCAUGAAAAAUAGGGGCACCCAUAUACAUGAACGGAGCAGACCCCAAGGGAAUACCCAAGAAGUUUGAAAUAGAAUGCCGCCUUGAAUGUAUACUUUUUCCGAAAAAAACUUGAGACUUUUCUUUGUUGAUAACUUGACCUGAAACACUACCAUAUUCAUUGAAGAAUCUCAUAAUCCGCGAUAAAUUCUGCUUAUUACCCCGACAAAAAACAAUAACAUCAUCUGCAAAUAGAACAUAAGAUGGAGCAAGAGUAUUUCGCGGAGAAGAGAUACGCUGCAGUUGACCCGAUGAAACAAGUAAAAAGAUCCCACGACUAAGGACCUCUUCUGCUAAGCAAAAGAGCAAGGGAGAAAGGGGGUCACCUUUGACGCACACCCCUUUCACAAGAAAAAUACCCAAUAGUCCUCUCAUUGAUCAACAGAGAAAGUUUGGCUGACAGAAGCAAGGCACGCACCCAUUGUACAAAGAUCAGAUCAAACCCAAAAGCAUGAAGAACAUGAAGAAGAAAAUCCCAUGACAGAGUAUCAAACGCCUUUGUAAUAUCAACCUUAAUUGCAAGGUUACCUCCAUGACAUAUUGAGUUCAACAAAUUAAAGCACUCUGAUGUAGUUAAUAUAAAGUCUGAUAUGUUCCUCCCUGCAACAAAAGCAUGUUGUUGAGGAGAAAUAAUACGUGAUGCCACAGAUGCCAACCGGAUAGCUAUGAUCUUUGGGAUAAUUUUAAACACAAAGUUGGUGAGGACAAUAUGGCGAAACUGCUUUAUAGAGUCGGCAUGAUCAACUUUGAGGAUUAACAUGAUAAUACCUGAGUUAAAGGAAGGAGCCAAAUAACCAUGUUGAAAAAAAUACUGAACACCCUUAACAACAUCAGCACCAACAACCUCCCAGCAAGAGACGAAAAAAUGGCCAUUAAAUCCAUCCGGCCCCAGGGCACUAUCAGGAUCCAUUGAUUUGACAGCUGCCCAAAUUUCCUCUUGUAAUGGAACAAUUGUAAGCGUUGUAUUUUCCUCAUGAGUUACCAUAGAAUGAAUCACCUUGGACACCAAACCACUAUCUUCAUACUCUGCAUGUUUUGUAAAAAGAUUUUUAUAAUAAUCAAUUAUAUGAUUUUGGAUAGAAUGUGGAUCCUAAAGCACCUGAUCUCCAUCACGAAGCAGAGUAAUAGAAGAACGAUUUCAACGCACUUUACACAUAGCAUGAAAAUAAUUAAGAAGAAUUGCGAUCACCUUCUGACAACCAUUGCAACCUUGACUUCUCACGCCAAAGACUUUCCUGACGCCGAAUAGACUCAUUCAAAUUAGCCUGCAAUUCAGUCUCUUUUUCAAACUCUUCAUCUGAUCCCCCAGAAGCUGCAAUUUUAUUUUGAAUAUCAGCAAGGGCUGCAAGGUCAAACUCAACCCGACGAUGAACAUCCCCAAAGACCUCCCAGUAUUUUGCCGUGUUAAGAGUAUAUAUAGGCCCAGUUCACGUCUGAGACGGUCCAGUCCAUAUUCUUGUGCUUGGAGAACAAGUCGGUUUUGCACAGCUUGCAGAUAUAUACUCCACCGUUUCCAGUACCAAGUACUAACAAGUUAAUUGAUUUCUCUUCUUGUGUAAUAACCAGAAAAUAUCAAGUACUACUUUCUUUCUCUUCUUUUCUUUGUUUUAGAGAUUAGUUUAGCUUUCUUGUUCUUCAAUUAUCAAAUCAUGCCCAUGGUAGAUUUUCAGCAUGGUAUCAGAGCCAUGGCGGCCUGACCUGUUUUCGAUGUCCUUUCCUUCCUCUGCAAUCCUCUUCUACUUGUUACUUCUGCAUAUCAGAAACCCCCAAUUUUUCUUGAUCAAAACCGUAGCAACAUACCAGUUCUUAGAAUCAAGGUGUAUAAUUACCACUUCAGCAACAUUUAAGAACUUUAAAAUCGAGGAAACUUAUGAAGAAAUUAAGAAAUCGAGGUCUAAUUUCUUCUAAUUUUUCGCCGUAUGUAAUGCUGAAUUUAAUUACUUCUUAUAGUAAGUUAUACGAUAUACUAAGGGUUAUAUAAUUUACCAUAGAAGCAGGCCCGAACCUGAGAUUUUCAGGCAUGAGUCGAACUUUCAAAAUUAGGCCCUCAAAGUAUAGUAUUUAUACAAUUUUAUUUUCUCAUUUUAAGAAACACACAAAAAAUUCACGAACUAAAGUUAUAUAUAAACCAAAAUCUAACAACAAAAAACAUCUUAUUAAAAAUCUUAUUUAUGCAACAAAUCUCUUACUUAGGCUGCUAAUUUUUCUAAAAUAGUAAUUAAUGAUUGUAAUAAUGGGUAAGAUUUUAUAUUCAUUUUUCUCUUUUGUAAUCUUUUUGUUUUUUUUAAAGAAGGGUCGGUGCGGCUCUCUUUUGUAAUCUAACACCACCAUAAUUGGAUUUAUUAAUUAUUUUUUAUUGUUUUUAACUAAACUAAUGUAAUCACACAAAGAGAAAAGAAAAUUUUGGGCUCCUUAAGGUUAUGGCCCUGAGUCCAUCAACUCUUAAGACUCUAUUCAGGUACCGGUCUACAUAGAAGGGCUUGUUUUCUGUUGCAAAGAUCUAUAGUCUAUGCUGAAUUAAGUGUAACGCCUGGGAAUAGAGGCCAGGGAGACCAUUGGCACGUGGGACGCCACUGGCUUCUGAUGCAUCUUGCUUUGAAUUCAUAUGCAUGGGAGUCAAUCACCAUUUACCAAUUGGUCAAGGAGCCCUUGAAUCCCUGAGCACUCACAUGCCCAUGCCCUUGUUCUUGUACCUACAUAGUACUCUCACCUCACCUCUUGAUCAUAGUGACGAUUAUACUUGAGCUCCAAACCCAACGUACUUGCACUUCAAUUUUUUACCCCCUUUCUUCUAUUUUUUGUUCUGUUGCGUAUAUAUAUAUAUAGCCAUAUAGGUCUAAUUUCUUCUAAGUUUCCUCGAUUUGCAUUAGUUUCUUUAAUAGAUUUCAGAUUUCUGUAUAUACGUAUCAUUUAUGAAGUAAUUAAGUUCAGCAUUACAACAGAUAUAGAAUAGAGUGUUGUGUAGAAGAUCGGAGUUUGGAAUAUCAAUGGCUUCUAGUUCAGGUUUGUUGAAUUUCCUUAAGAACUUUAGUUAGUCUAUUUCCUUAGUUGUGUUUGUUUUGUUUGAUUCUAUAGUAUCUAUUUGUCUUGUGUGUUGAGUUCCUUGUGAUCAAUGGAUUGAGGCUAAGACAUAUGACCAAUCAAGUUUAAUUGUUUAAACAACAUUUGCAGACGAUCCGACUUGUUCUCUCUCUCUCAUAGAAUGGUCAAUGUUCUUGAAAAUGUGAUGUAAAUUGAUUCAGUUUCAUACAUACAAACAUAUAUUUAUGCCAUAAGUCCAUUGAUCUAAAAAAGUGUUUUAUUCAAGCAAGUUCUUAGAGUUAUAGUUGGAUAGGAAGAUUACAGAUACAAGCGUAUAUCAGCUUAAUAGCUAAUAUUAUUGUUUGAAAAGUAGAAAGCUCGAUCAACAGAAGGAGGGUUUUAGCUAGCUAGAGUUUAAGAUUUUGCCGAAGCAAGAAAUAUUGCUCUUCGACCUUUGAAAUAGGUCAACAUUGCACUGCGAUCAGGAAGGGGCUCUUUGAUUGUGGGGAUGUCCUUGAACCGUUGAAUCCAGGCAUGCAAGCGAGGGAAGGUUUCGGCUUCAAUCCCCUUAACCCCAGCUAGUUCACUCAUGACAUCCAUCCACCAAGCUAGCCACCCGAAUUCCAAAUCAGCCAUUCCAAUCUCAUCUCCUCCGAAAAACUUCUUGUCUCCGAG
Molecule: long non-coding RNA, 22295 nt
Filed under: Fragaria vesca (wild strawberry)
Lineage: Eukaryota; Viridiplantae; Streptophyta; Magnoliopsida; Rosales; Rosaceae
Description: long non-coding RNA (FVES_LNC000580)
Source: RNAcentral